UAGGGAAUCUUCGGCAAUGGGGGGAACCCUGACCGAGCAACGCCGCGUGAGUGAAGAAGGUUUUCGGAUCGUAAAGCUCUGUUGUUAAGGAAGAACGAGUGUGAGAAUGGAAAGUUCAUGCUGUGACGGUACUUAACCAGAAAGGGACGGCUAACUACGUGCCAGCAGCCGCGGUAAUACGUAGGUCCCGAGCGUUGUCCGGAUUUAUUGGGCGUAAAGCGAGCGCAGGCGGUUAGAAAAGUCUGAAGUGAAAGGCAGUGGCUCAACCAUUGUAGGCUUUGGAAACUGGUUAACUUGAGUGCAGAAGGGGAGAGUGGAAUUCCAUGUGUAACGGUGAAAUGCGUAGAUAUAUGGAGGAACACCGGUGGCGAAAGCGGCUCUCUGGUCUGUAACUGACGCUGAGGCUCGAAAGCGUGGGGAGCGAACAGG
RNAcentral lists this ribosomal RNA (429 nucleotides) under Bacteroidota bacterium. Its description in RNAcentral is "Bacteroidetes bacterium partial 16S ribosomal RNA". It matches the Rfam family "Bacterial small subunit ribosomal RNA", at positions 355 to 776 of the family's 1533-position model. Lineage: Bacteria; Pseudomonadati; Bacteroidota. The record is from RNAcentral.